GAUGAACGCUGGCGGCGUGCCUAAUACAUGCAAGUCGAGCGAACGGACGAGAAGCUUGCUUCUCUGAUGUUAGCGGCGGACGGGUGAGUAACACGUGGAUAACCUACCUAUAAGACUGGGAUAACUUCGGGAAACCGUAGCUAAUACCGGAUAAUAUUUUGAACCGCAUGGUUCAAAAGUGAAAGACGGUCUUGCUGUCACUUAUAGAUGGAUCCGCGCUGCAUUAGCUAGUUGGUAAGGUAACGGCUUACCAAGGCAACGAUGCAUAGCCGACCUGAGAGGGUGAUCGGCCACACUGGAACUGAGACACGGUCCAGACUCCUACGGGAGGCAGCAGUAGGGAACCUUCCGCAAAGGGCGAAAGCCUGACGGAGCAACGCCGCGUGAGUGAUGAAGGUCUUCGGAUCGUAAAACUCUGUUAUUAGGGAAGAACAUAUGUGUAAGUAACUGUGCACAUCUUGACGGUACCUAAUCAGAAAGCCACGGCUAACUACGUG
Molecule: ribosomal RNA, 497 nt
Filed under: uncultured bacterium
Lineage: Bacteria
Description: partial 16S ribosomal RNA
Rfam family: Bacterial small subunit ribosomal RNA
Source: RNAcentral